RNAcentral lists this ribosomal RNA (1343 nucleotides) under uncultured bacterium. RNAcentral describes it as "16S ribosomal RNA". It matches the Rfam family "Bacterial small subunit ribosomal RNA", at positions 28 to 1378 of the family's 1533-position model. The record is from RNAcentral.
GACGAACGCUGUCGGCGUGCUUAACACAUGCAAGUCGAACGGAAAGGCCCUGCUUUUGUGGGGUGCUCGAGUGGCGAACGGGUGAGUAACACGUGAGUAACCUGCCCUUGACUUUGGGAUAACUUCAGGAAACUGGGGCUAAUACCGGAUAGGAGCUCCUGCUGCAUGGUGGGGGUUGGAAAGUUUCGGCGGUUGGGGAUGGACUCGCGGCUUAUCAGCUUGUUGGUGGGGUAGUGGCUUACCAAGGCUUUGACGGGUAGCCGGCCUGAGAGGGUGACCGGCCACAUUGGGACUGAGAUACGGCCCAGACUCCUACGGGAGGCAGCAGUGGGGAAUAUUGCACAAUGGGCGGAAGCCUGAUGCAGCAACGCCGCGUGCGGGAUGACGGCCUUCGGGUUGUAAACCGCUUUCGCCUGUGACGAAGCGUGAGUGACGGUAAUGGGUAAAGAAGCACCGGCUAACUACGUGCCAGCAGCCGCGGUGAUACGUAGGGUGCGAGCGUUGUCCGGAUUUAUUGGGCGUAAAGGGCUCGUAGGUGGUUGAUCGCGUCGGAAGUGUAAUCUUGGGGCUUAACCCUGAGCGUGCUUUCGAUACGGGUUGACUUGAGGAAGGUAGGGGAGAAUGGAAUUCCUGGUGGAGCGGUGGAAUGCGCAGAUAUCAGGAGGAACACCAGUGGCGAAGGCGGUUCUCUGGGCCUUUCCUGACGCUGAGGAGCGAAAGCGUGGGGAGCGAACAGGCUUAGAUACCCUGGUAGUCCACGCUGUAAACGGUGGGUACUAGGUGUGGGGUCCAUUCCACGGGUUCCGUGCCGUAGCUAACGCUUUAAGUACCCCGCCUGGGGAGUACGGCCGCAAGGCUAAAACUCAAAGGAAUUGACGGGGCCCCGCACAAGCGGCGGAGCAUGCGGAUUAAUUCGAUGCAACGCGUAGAACCUUACCUGGGUUUGACAUGGAUCGGGAGUGCUCAGAGAUGGGUGUGCCUCUUUUGGGGUCGGUUCACAGGUAGUGCAUGCCUGUCGUCAGCUCGUGUCGUGAGAUGUUGGGUUAAGUCCCGCAACGAGCGCAACCCUUGUUCACUGUUGCCAGCACGUUAUGGUGGGGACUCAGUGGAGACCGCCGGGGUCAACUCGGAGGAAGGUGGGGAUGACGUCAAGUCAUCAUGCCCCUUAUGUCCAGGGCUUCACGCAUGCUACAAUGGCUGGUACAGAGAGUGGCGAGCCUGUGAGGGUGAGCGAAUCUCGGAAAGCCGGUCUCAGUUCGGAUUGGGGUCUGCAACUCGACCUCAUGAAGUCGGAGUCGCUAGUAAUCGCAGAUCAGCAACGCUGCGGUGAAUACGUUCCCGGG